AUUGGUAACUAUCAAAAC
Molecule: small nuclear RNA, 18 nt
Filed under: Arabidopsis thaliana (thale cress)
Lineage: Eukaryota; Viridiplantae; Streptophyta; Magnoliopsida; Brassicales; Brassicaceae
Description: snRNA_08446
Source: RNAcentral